This 469-nucleotide ribosomal RNA is filed under the name uncultured organism. Its description in RNAcentral is "partial 16S ribosomal RNA". It matches the Rfam family "Bacterial small subunit ribosomal RNA", at positions 333 to 798 of the family's 1533-position model. The record is from RNAcentral.
ACACUCCUGCGGGAGGCAGCAGUGAGGAAUAUUGGACAAUGGGUGGAAGCCUGAUCCAGCCAUCCCGCGUGCAGGAAGACGGCCCUAUGGGUUGUAAACUGCUUUUAUCUGGGGAUAAACCUACUUACGUGUAAGUAGCUGAAGGUACCAGAAGAAUAAGCACCGGCUAACUCCGUGCCAGCAGCCGCGGUAAUACGGAGGGUGCAAGCGUUAUCCGGAUUUAUUGGGUUUAAAGGGUCCGUAGGCGGACUGAUAAGUCAGUGGUGAAAUCCGACAGCUUAACUGUCGAACUGCCAUUGAUACUGUUAGUCUUGAGUAAGGUUGAAGUGGCUGGAAUAAGUAGUGUAGCGGUGAAAUGCAUAGAUAUUACUUAGAACACCAAUUGCGAAGGCAGGUCACUAAGUCUUAACUGACGCUGAUGGACGAAAGCGUGGGGAGCGAACAGGAUUAGAAACCCGAGUAGUCCCAU